UACGUAGGCAGCGAGCGUUGUUCGGAGUUACUGGGCGUAAAGGGUGUGUAGGCGGUUCUUUUAAGUUUGGUGUGAAAUCUCCCGGCUCAACCGGGAGGGUGCGCCGAAUACUGAGGGACUAGAGUGCGGGAGAGGAAAGUGGAAUUCCCGGUGUAGCGGUGAAAUGCGCAGAUAUCGGGAAGAACACCCGUGGCGAAGGCGGCUUUCUGGGACGGUACUGACGCUGAGACGCGAAAGCGUGGGGAGCGAACAGG
RNAcentral lists this ribosomal RNA (254 nucleotides) under uncultured bacterium. Its description in RNAcentral is "partial 16S ribosomal RNA". It matches the Rfam family "Bacterial small subunit ribosomal RNA", at positions 524 to 776 of the family's 1533-position model. The record is from RNAcentral.